CACGUAGGGGACGAGCGUUGUCCGGAAUCAUUGGGCGUAAAGAGCUUGUAGGCGGUUUGUCGCGUCUGCCGUGAAAAUCCGAGGCUCAACCUCGGACUUGCGGUGGGUACGGGCAGACUAGAGUGUGGUAGGGGAGACUGGAAUUCCUGGUGUAGCGGUGAAAUGCGCAGAUAUCAGGAGGAACACCGAUGGCGAAGGCAGGUCUCUGGGCCACUACUGACGCUGAGAAGCGAAAGCAUGGGGAGCGAACAGG
Molecule: ribosomal RNA, 253 nt
Filed under: uncultured bacterium
Lineage: Bacteria
Description: partial 16S ribosomal RNA
Rfam family: Bacterial small subunit ribosomal RNA
Source: RNAcentral